Non-coding RNA from Thalassospira sp. MCCC 1A01428, 87 nucleotides. The record is from Rfam. Lineage: Bacteria; Pseudomonadati; Pseudomonadota; Alphaproteobacteria; Rhodospirillales; Thalassospiraceae.
GGAGAGGUGCCGGAGUGGUCGAACGGGGCGGUCUCGAAAACCGUUGUACUAGCAAUAGUACCGUGGGUUCGAAUCCCACCCUCUCCG